RNAcentral lists this ribosomal RNA (232 nucleotides) under uncultured bacterium. Its description in RNAcentral is "partial 16S ribosomal RNA". It matches the Rfam family "Bacterial small subunit ribosomal RNA", at positions 99 to 334 of the family's 1533-position model. The record is from RNAcentral.
CGGACGGGUGAGUAAUGUCUGGGAAACUGCCCGAUGGAGGGGGAUAACUACUGGAAACGAUAGCUAAUACCGCAUAACGUCGCAAGACCAAAGAGGGGGACCUUCGGGCCUCUUGCCAUCGGAUGUGCCCAGAUGGGAUUAGCUAGUAGGUGGGGUAAAGGCUCACCUAGGCGACGAUCCCUAGCUGGUCUGAGAGGAUGACCAGCCACACUGGAACUGAGACACGGUCCAG